GGUGCUGUUCCUACUUCCGCGAGUCAGGUCUUCGCAGAGCAGGCGUUCUGAAAUCUUUGGUGUUGGGAAAGGAUCAUGAAAAAGCUCACCAUUGUCUAAGCCCACCAUCUGCCCUUCUAAGAAGUGCAAUGUAUUCAGCAUAUUUCAAUGAGUGUUUUAAAUGUUCACCCUGAAUCUUUAGAAAAAGAGUACAAGGCUUUAAAGAAGACAGAGAAUUGCUCCCUUGACUGUGGAUCCAGAAUGGGGAAAAUAAUCUUCUAGAAAUAUAAGAGAGAACUUUCAAUACCUUUUCCCCAUUGUUCACUCUCAGUCUUAGGAGAUGUUCUUUGGAAGAAAUGGAGCCUAGAAGUUAGCAAAUUAAAAGUUUUGAAAGACA
This is a long non-coding RNA of Suricata suricatta (meerkat), 376 nucleotides long. RefSeq lists it as uncharacterized. The record is from RefSeq and is a predicted model, not a curated record. Lineage: Eukaryota; Metazoa; Chordata; Mammalia; Carnivora; Herpestidae. The transcript has 3 exons.